GCAGGGGUGUCAGAGUGGUCGAAUGUGCUGGUCUCGAAAACCGGUAUACCGCAAGGUAUCGGGGGUUCAAAUCCCUCCCCCUGCGCCA
RNAcentral lists this transfer RNA (88 nucleotides) under Clostridia bacterium. RNAcentral's name for it is "tRNA-Ser". It matches the Rfam family "tRNA". Rfam says of the family: Transfer RNA (tRNA) molecules are approximately 80 nucleotides in length. Their secondary structure includes four short double-helical elements and three loops (D, anti-codon, and T loops). Further hydrogen bonds mediate the characteristic L-shaped molecular structure. tRNAs have two regions of fundamental functional importance: the anti-codon, which is responsible for specific mRNA codon recognition, and the 3' end, to which the tRNAs corresponding amino acid is attached (by aminoacyl-tRNA synthetases). tRNAs cope with the degeneracy of the genetic code in two manners: having more than one tRNA (with a specific anti-codon) for a particular amino acid; and 'wobble' base-pairing, i.e. permitting non-standard base-pairing at the 3rd anti-codon position. Lineage: Bacteria; Bacillati; Bacillota; Clostridia. The record is from RNAcentral.